UUCCUGUAAUCCUCGAAUGUAAUGAAUUGCAUUCUGUGGCACUUUAGAAUUUGCAAAGCACUUUCCUCUACAGGUUUUGUUCCUCACCAAAAAUCCAUGAGAUGAAUCUUAUUAUUCUCAUUUUACAGAUGCAGAAACUGCCACUCAAAGAAGGUAGGAGAAUGGUCCAGUGGAUGGAAGGAUGGAGUUCAAGUUUUAGACACGGAUGACUUGUGUGACCUUGGCUCAGUCCUUUAACCUAUCUCUGCCUCAGUUUCCUCAUUGGUAAAAUGAGAUGGCAAAAUAAAUGGCAAAUCAUGGCGGUAUCUUAGCCAAGAGAACCCCAAGCGGGGUCAUGAAGUGUGGGACAUGGCUGAACACUACAUGGGACAGGCCCUACACUAGAAACUGGACACACAAAACCAAAAAUGAAAAUAAUCUUUGUCUUCAGAGAGCCUGCAGCCCCCAUCCAAAGUCCUGAGCUCGCAGCCCCUCUCUGAUGCUUCCAACCUGGGCGACAGGUGGGCGAGUCCUGGAAUGUUUCCAUUUUCUCAUCUCAGAAGUGAAGGGUUUGUUUGCACUAGCUGGCCUCUGGGGUCCCUCCCAGCUCUUCCUCGAUGAUCCUGAAAUCCUGGCACUUUGGGAAAGCCAGCUCAGUGGAGGGAACCUGGAUCUUAAGAGGAGGUGAGGAAACUGAGGACAAAGGGCGCAGUGACUGCCCCGAAGCUCAUCGGUGGAACUGGGAACCAGCUUUUUGGACUUCAAGCCCAGGGUUCUUACCACGAUUCCACGGGGAAACAUUCUUUGACACAGAAUAGAAAAUGAUGGACGUGCAAAAGGGCCCCCACCAUUUGGAUUUAUCAUAUGCUAGAGCCUUCCAAAUGGAAACUUCAUAAAAGUAUUUGCCUAGGAAUUGUGCAUGCGGGUGUUUUAGUGGAAGUGCAACCUUGUUAAAGUGUGAAAUAUUUCCUUGCUGGAGUCUGUUGGAGUAUUUGUCUGCUCCACCCCCGGGAGGGCCUGGCCCAAAUCGCUGUCCAGGUCCCAGCUGGACAUACUUUGUAAAUGCUGCCUUUGUUUCGAGUUUCCACUGAGCUUCAGCCUCGAUGACAU
RNAcentral lists this long non-coding RNA (1089 nucleotides) under Monodelphis domestica (gray short-tailed opossum). Its description in RNAcentral is "lncRNA (ENSMODG00000034629.2)". Lineage: Eukaryota; Metazoa; Chordata; Mammalia; Didelphimorphia; Didelphidae. The record is from RNAcentral.